This is a long non-coding RNA of Lagenorhynchus albirostris (white-beaked dolphin), 351 nucleotides long. RefSeq lists it as uncharacterized. Lineage: Eukaryota; Metazoa; Chordata; Mammalia; Artiodactyla; Delphinidae. The record is from RefSeq and is a predicted model, not a curated record. The transcript is spliced from 3 exons.
UUUUCUCUCUGGAAUUUCUAAGCUGGGGAGAUAUGACUCUGGGACUCCCAGUGACCAUCCAGCACAAGAAGAGACUUUCUGUAAAAUAAAGUCUUGCAGAGGUUAAUUAUCUGAGAAGAGUAUUGUGCCAGCACACUUGAUGCUACAGUAUUUCAUGCUUGACAGCUGUUGAUUCCUUCUCUUGUUCUGGAUGGAGGAUAGCAACGAAGCCACUUCAAAGGGCUCAGCCUGCCUUUUUGUGUUAUUGUUUAGAUGAAGAUAUUUCCAUUUAUUAAAGCACACUAUUUAAACAUUUUUAUCAUGUUUCAAACUUGACUGUGUUCUGAAGGUAUGAGCACAGGCAGACAUAAU